Molecule: long non-coding RNA, 849 nt
Organism: Daphnia pulex (common water flea)
Lineage: Eukaryota; Metazoa; Arthropoda; Branchiopoda; Diplostraca; Daphniidae
Exons: 3
Source: RefSeq, a predicted model, not a curated record
CUAAGGCAUUUACUUUAUUCAAAAUUCUAACACAAUUUUGUUCUAAUAAUUUUUUAAAUUAAUUGUUAAGCUGAACAUUUUGUAUUCUCAGUUUCAAAAUCGGACUUUUGGCGCGUUUUGGCUGUUGCAAUUGGCCAAUUGCAGAGAUGCGGACGUUUUUAAUUGGAAGACCGAGAAUGGCAAUGUUGCGCCUUGCCCGUUCCUUCCAACUUCAAGAUGGCUGCUGGCAUUCGAGAAUCGAGAUACGACAGCAAGUGACAGUUCCCCAGAGUGAUGGAUCAUCUUGGUCUGUACUUCGUAAAGUGUAUUUGCCGAUUCAUGUUUUUACUACCUAAACCAGUUAAAAUACUCCCGAGUCCUGAUUCAAGAUUUUCGUGGUGUUGUGGAAAGGAGAGCUACAGAUGGAAAUGCUAGAUGAGCAUAUUCAGCCUGCAUUUGCGUUUUCAAAAGAGUUCUUGCAAUUGUUCGAUGGUGGUUCUGUACUCCAGGUUUUGUGGUGUUGCGGAGAUUAAGAAUGGACAUGCUGUUUUAACUUUCUUUGAACUAUUUACAAAGCUGAAAAGGUUGAAGAAAAUUAAAUUGUGAAUAAAAUGUUGGGUCUUAAAUAGUGGUAAAUGUGUUAAAUAUCAGUUUGCAAAGGGAGAAUGUGUGAAAGUUUGAAAUUUGUUUCAGUUGAAUAAUUUUCCGGUUUUCGAUCUGAUGUCUAAAUAUGAUGCAUAUAAAAUGUAUUUUUUCAUCAAUAGUACAAGUUAUCUUCAGAGUACAAGCUGACAUCAGAGGAAUUUAAAUUCAUAUCUAUGUGAUUGUGUUUGAUUAGCUAAUGAUUGAAUAAAUGGAAUGCAAAUUAGA